RNAcentral lists this ribosomal RNA (468 nucleotides) under uncultured bacterium. Its description in RNAcentral is "partial 16S ribosomal RNA". It matches the Rfam family "Bacterial small subunit ribosomal RNA", at positions 28 to 507 of the family's 1533-position model. The record is from RNAcentral.
GACGAACGCUGGCGGCGUGCUUAACACAUGCAAGUCGAACGGAAAGGCCCUGCCUUUCUGGGGUGCUCGAGUGGCGAACGGGUGAGUAACACGUGAGUAACCUGCCCUUGACUUUGGGAUAACUUCAGGAAACUGGGGCUAAUACCGGAUAGGAGCUCCUGCUGCAUGGUGUGGGUUGGAGAUUUUUGGCGGUUGGGGAUGGACUCGCGGCUUAUCAGCUUGUUGGUGGGGUAGUGGCUUACCAAGGCGUUGACGGGUAGCCGGCCUGAGAGGGUGACCGGCCACAUUGGGACUGAGAUACGGCCCAGACUCCUACGGGAGGCAGCAGUGGGGAAUAUUGCACAAUGGGCGGAAGCCUGAUGCAGCAACGCCGCGUGCGGGAUGACGGCCUUCGGGUUGUAAACCGCUUUCGCCUGUGACGAAGCGUGAGUGACGGUAAUGGGUGAAGAAGCACCGGCUAACUACGUG